RNAcentral lists this small nuclear RNA (20 nucleotides) under Arabidopsis thaliana (thale cress). Its description in RNAcentral is "snRNA_15553". The record is from RNAcentral. Lineage: Eukaryota; Viridiplantae; Streptophyta; Magnoliopsida; Brassicales; Brassicaceae.
GACCAUGAGUUUUGGUUCAU